This 345-nucleotide transfer-messenger RNA is filed under the name Caldisericia. Its description in RNAcentral is "JAAYUI01 sp012517765 Standard tmRNA". It matches the Rfam family "transfer-messenger RNA". Rfam says of the family: Bacterial tmRNA, also known as 10Sa RNA or SsrA, is named for its dual tRNA and mRNA-like properties. The record is from RNAcentral. Lineage: Bacteria; Pseudomonadati; Caldisericota. RNAcentral also lists the same sequence under 1 other name.
GGGGGUGAAAGGUCUCGACACUUGACAAUUGAAGGAACAGGCAAGCCGAGGUUGGUCCAGGGCCUCGUAAAAAAUGGACCACGGCAUAACUGCCACAAAUAAUUACGCACUCGCCGCCUAAUUAGGCGACACGGCAACCGGUGAGAGUGGCGCUGGUAACUGGAAGCCGACGCACAAGUGCCCCCAAGUCAUCUGCCGCCCGGGCGGGUGGCCCAUGGUACAAUCCGGGCAACCCUUGGCCAAAGGGCAAGCCAUAGGCUAAAGGGUAAAAGGCUUGCAAAGCUUGUAACUCCUGUCUUUCGAAAGGCAAGCUGGACACGGGUUCGAAUCCCGUCACCUCCACCA